RNAcentral lists this ribosomal RNA (406 nucleotides) under uncultured bacterium. Its description in RNAcentral is "partial 16S ribosomal RNA". It matches the Rfam family "Bacterial small subunit ribosomal RNA", at positions 28 to 526 of the family's 1533-position model. The record is from RNAcentral.
GACGAACGCUGGCGGCGUGCCUAAUACAUGCAAGUCGAACGAGCGGCGGACGGGUGAGUAAUGUCUGGGAAACUGCCUGAUGGAGGGGGAUAACUACUGGAAACGGUAGCUAAUACCGCAUACCAUCAGAUGUGCCAAGUUGGGAUUAGCUAGUCGGUGGGGUAACGGCUCACCUAGGCGACGAUCCCUAGCCGGUCUGAGAGGAUGACCAGCCACACUGGAACUGAGACACGGUCCAGACUCCUACGGGAGGCAGCAGUGGGGAAUAUUGCACAAUGGGCGCAAGCCUGAUGCAGCAAUGCCGCGUGUGUGAAGAAGGCCUUCGGGUUGUAAAGCGCUUUCGGCGGGGAGGCGGUACCCGCAGAAGAAGCACCGGCUAACUCCGUGCCAGCAGCCGCGGUAAUUC